RNAcentral lists this ribosomal RNA (253 nucleotides) under uncultured bacterium. Its description in RNAcentral is "partial 16S ribosomal RNA". It matches the Rfam family "Bacterial small subunit ribosomal RNA", at positions 524 to 776 of the family's 1533-position model. The record is from RNAcentral.
UACGAAGGGGGCUAGCGUUGUUCGGAAUCACUGGGCGUAAAGGGCGCGUAGGCGGCCGCUCAAGUCGGGGGUGAAAGCCUGUGGCUUAACCACAGAAUUGCCUUCGAUACUGUUUGGCUUGAGACCGGAAGAGGUGAGUGGAACUGCGAGUGUAGAGGUGAAAUUCGUAGAUAUUCGCAAGAACACCAGUGGCGAAGGCGGCUCACUGGUCCGGUUCUGACGCUGAGGCGCGAAAGCGUGGGGAGCGAACAGG